This 500-nucleotide ribosomal RNA is filed under the name uncultured bacterium. RNAcentral's name for it is "bacterial SSU rRNA". It matches the Rfam family "Bacterial small subunit ribosomal RNA", at positions 38 to 564 of the family's 1533-position model. The record is from RNAcentral.
GGCGGUGUGCUUCACACAUGCAAGUCGAACGAGGUAGCAAUACCUAGUGGCGGACGGGUGAGUAACGCGUAGGAAUCUGCCUUUAGAUGGGGGAUAGCAGGCCGAAAGGCCUAUUAAUACCGCAUAUGUGUAUUUCUCGACAGAGUUAUACAUGAAAAGAGUAAUCUGUCUAAAGAUGAGCCUGCGUCCGAUUAGCUAGUUGGUAGGGUAAAGGCCUACCAAGGCGACGAUCGGUAGGUGGUCUGAGAGGAUGAUCACCCACAAUGGGACUGAGACACGGCCCAUACUCCUACGGGAGGCAGCAGUGGGGAAUUUUGUGCAAUGGGGGAAACCCUGACACAGCGACACCGCGUGAGCGAAGAAGCCCCUUGGGGUGUAAAGCUCUGUCGGCUGGGACGAAAAAAAUGACGGUACCAGCAGAGGAAGCAUCGGCUAACUACGUGCCAGCAGCCGCGGUAAGACGUAGGAUGCGAGCGUUGUCCGGAUUUAUUGGGCGUAAA